AACGAACGCUGGCGGCAGGCCUAACACAUGCAAGUCGAGCGGACCCUUCGGGGUUAGCGGCGGACGGGUGAGUAACGCGUGGGAAUAUGCCCUUCUCUACGGAAUAGUCCUGGGAAACUGGGGGUAAUACCGUAUACGCCCUUUGGGGGAAAGAUUUAUCGGGGAAGGAUUAGCCCGCGUUGGAUUAGGUAGUUGGUGGGGUAAUGGCCUACCAAGCCGACCCAUAGCUGGUUUGAGAGGAUGAUCAGCCACACUGGGACUGAGACACGGCCCAGACUCCUACGGGAGGCAGCAGUGGGGAAUCUUAGACAAUGGGGGCAACCCUGAUCGAGCCAUGCCGCGUGAGUGAUGAAGGCCUUAGGGUUGUAAAGCUCUUUCAGCUGGGAAGAUAAUGACGGUACCAGCAGAAGAAGCCCCGGCUAACUCCGUG
RNAcentral lists this ribosomal RNA (430 nucleotides) under uncultured bacterium. Its description in RNAcentral is "partial 16S ribosomal RNA". It matches the Rfam family "Bacterial small subunit ribosomal RNA", at positions 29 to 507 of the family's 1533-position model. The record is from RNAcentral.